UGGGAAAAGGUGACAGUACUUUAAUGCCCUACUGUGAAAGCAUGGGAAAAGGUGACAGUACUUUAAUGCUCUACUGUGAAAGCAUGAGAAAAGGUGACAGUACUUUAAUGCUCUACUGUGAAAGCAUGGGAAAAGGUGACAGUACUUUAAUGCUCUACUGUGAAAGCAUGGGAAAAGGUGACAGUACUUUAAUGCCCUACUGUGAAAGCAUGGGAAAAGGUGACAGUACUUUAAUGCCCUACUGUGAAAGCAUGGGAAAAGGUGACAGCAUUAGCUGUUAUCUGGAGUCAUGGAGGAACAGUCAACAUAUUAUCACAGACUUCCUAAUUCAUC
Molecule: long non-coding RNA, 333 nt
Organism: Oncorhynchus keta (chum salmon)
Lineage: Eukaryota; Metazoa; Chordata; Actinopteri; Salmoniformes; Salmonidae
Exons: 3
Source: RefSeq, a predicted model, not a curated record